RNAcentral lists this ribosomal RNA (504 nucleotides) under Heterixalus rutenbergi (Rutenberg's reed frog). RNAcentral's name for it is "partial 16S ribosomal RNA". It matches the Rfam family "Bacterial large subunit ribosomal RNA", at positions 1923 to 2593 of the family's 2925-position model. The record is from RNAcentral. Lineage: Eukaryota; Metazoa; Chordata; Amphibia; Anura; Hyperoliidae.
UUUAACGGCCGCGGUAUCAUAACCGUGCGAAGGUAGCAUAAUAAAUUGUUCUCUAAAUAGGGACUAGUAUGAAAGGCACCACGAGGGCUUAACUGUCUCCCUUUUCCAAUUAAUGAAACUGAUCUUCUCGUGAAGAAGCGAGAAUAAAAAUAUAAGACGAGAAGACCCCAUGGAGCUUUAAACUCAUCAUCAUUUACUCUUUACCACACCACUACAUAUAGUAAAAUUGUUACCUGAGAGUUUUCGGCUGGGGUGACCCUGGAGCAAAACAAAUCCUCCAGGAUGAACGGAAUAAAAUCCUAAUCAAAGAGCUACAACUCUAAGAAUCAAAAUAUUGACAUAUUUGAUCCAAUUACUUGAUCAACGAACCAAGUUACCCUGGGGAUAACAGCGCAAUCCAUUUCAAGAGCCCCUAUCGACAAAUGGGUUUACGACCUCGAUGUUGGAUCGGGGUAUCCCAGUGGCGCAGCCGCUACUAAAGGUUCGUUUGUUCAACGAUUAAUA